CCUAACGGCUGAACCAGCAACUUGGGGGAAUGGAUAUAUAUAUUAGAGAUAAUAUAUAGUACCGACUCUGUCGGCUAAAGUUCUAGAUAGAAUAAUGAUAAUGACAAUUUUCUAUCUAUAUGUCUUGACCAAAUCUUGUGCCAGCAGUCGCGGCAACACAAGGGAGACUAGUGUUAUUCAUCUUUAUUAGGUUUAAAGGGUACCUAGACGGUAUAUCAAGCCCCAAAAGGGAACGGAUAUACUAGAGUUUUAUGUGAGAGGGAAAUAUAGUACUAUUGGAGUAGAGAUAAAAUGUAUUGAUACCUCUAGGCACGGGUAACGGCGAAGGCAAACCUCUAUGUAAAAACUGACGUUGAGGGACGAAGGCUCGGGUAGCGAAUAGGAUUAGAUACCCUAGUAGUCCGGGCAGACAAUUAUGAAUGCCAUAGAUUAGAAUAGACAGGAAGGAAAGUCAAACCUAUUCACAUAAAGAGUAUGUUGGGGCUUUCGACUAACCUUAUCCCCCGUACCCCCGACCCCCCACCGCAUAGAUUGGAUGUGUAAUACACACCAAGGCUAUGCGGCGGCGGGGGAGCGGUGACGGGACAGGUAAGGUUUUUUAUCCUGCAUUUGGUCUAUAAAUGAAAGUGUAAGCAUUCCACCUCAAGAGUAAGGCGGCAACGUUGGAACUGAAAUCAUUAGACCGUUUCUGAAACCAGUAGUGAAGUAUGUUAUUUAAUUCGAUAACCCUCGAAAAACCUUACCACAAUUUGAAUGUUAAUUAAUAAAUUAACACAGGCGUUGCAUGGCUGUCUUCAGUUAAUGUCGUGAGAUUUGGUUAGAUCCAAAAAAUUAUCGUAAACCCUUGUUCUUUAUUUGUUUGAAUAAUGCAGUUAACCGCUAUAUUGGAUUAUAUAAC
RNAcentral lists this ribosomal RNA (898 nucleotides) under Dothiorella rosulata. Its description in RNAcentral is "SSU rRNA". It matches the Rfam family "Bacterial small subunit ribosomal RNA", at positions 375 to 1169 of the family's 1533-position model. The record is from RNAcentral. Lineage: Eukaryota; Fungi; Ascomycota; Dothideomycetes; Botryosphaeriales; Botryosphaeriaceae.